Molecule: non-coding RNA, 23 nt
Filed under: Arabidopsis thaliana (thale cress)
Lineage: Eukaryota; Viridiplantae; Streptophyta; Magnoliopsida; Brassicales; Brassicaceae
Source: RNAcentral
GAUGGGUCCAAGGUUAAUCCAAA